This 404-nucleotide ribosomal RNA is filed under the name uncultured Oscillospiraceae bacterium. RNAcentral's name for it is "bacterial SSU rRNA". It matches the Rfam family "Bacterial small subunit ribosomal RNA", at positions 356 to 774 of the family's 1533-position model. Lineage: Bacteria; Bacillati; Bacillota; Clostridia; Eubacteriales; Oscillospiraceae. The record is from RNAcentral.
GGGGAAUAUUGGGCAAUGGGCGAAAGCCUGACCCAGCAACGCCGCGUGAAGGAAGAAGGCCCUCGGGUUGUAAACUUCUUUUAUCAGGGACGAAACAAAUGACGGUACCUGAUGAAUAAGCCACGGCUAACUACGUGCCAGCAGCCGCGGUAAUACGUAGGUGGCAAGCGUUAUCCGGAUUUACUGGGUGUAAAGGGCGUGUAGGCGGGACUGCAAGUCAGAUGUGAAAACUAUGGGCUCAACCCAUAGCCUGCAUUUGAAACUGUGGUUCUUGAGUGAUGGAGAGGCAGGCGGAAUUCCGUGUGUAGCGGUGAAAUGCGUAGAUAUACGGAGGAACACCAGUGGCGAAGGCGGCCUGCUGGACAUUAACUGACGCUGAGGCGCGAAAGCGUGGGGAGCAAACA